UGGGGAAUCUUGCGCAAUGGGCGAAAGCCUGACGCAGCGACGCCGCGUGAGUGAUGAAGGCCUUCGGGUUGUAAAGCUCUGUGGAGGGAGACGAAUAAGUGGUGGCUAACAUCCACCAUGAUGACGGUAUCCCUUUAGCAAGCACCGGCUAACUCUGUGCCAGCAGCCGCGGUAAGACAGAGGGUGCAAACGUUGUUCGGAAUUACUGGGCGUAAAGCGCGUGUAGGCUGCUCUGCAAGUCAGGUGUGAAAGCCCUGGGCUCAACCUAGGAAGUGCACUUGAAACUGCAAGAGCUGGAGUGUUGGAGAGGGAAGCGGAAUUCUCGGUGUAGAGGUGAAAUUCGUAGAUAUCGAGAGGAACACCGGUGGCGAAGGCGGCUUCCUGGACAACUACUGACGCUGAGACGCGAAAGCGUGGGGAGCAAACAG
RNAcentral lists this ribosomal RNA (428 nucleotides) under uncultured bacterium. RNAcentral describes it as "bacterial SSU rRNA". It matches the Rfam family "Bacterial small subunit ribosomal RNA", at positions 355 to 775 of the family's 1533-position model. The record is from RNAcentral.